GAUAGUGUGGUGUAGUGGUUUGAAUGUUAGACUACAACUCUGGAGACUAGGGUUUGAUUCCCUGCUUUGCCA
Molecule: transfer RNA, 72 nt
Filed under: Phrynosoma platyrhinos (Desert horned lizard)
Lineage: Eukaryota; Metazoa; Chordata; Lepidosauria; Squamata; Phrynosomatidae
Description: tRNA-OTHER
Rfam family: tRNA (bases 9-72)
About the family: Transfer RNA (tRNA) molecules are approximately 80 nucleotides in length. Their secondary structure includes four short double-helical elements and three loops (D, anti-codon, and T loops). Further hydrogen bonds mediate the characteristic L-shaped molecular structure. tRNAs have two regions of fundamental functional importance: the anti-codon, which is responsible for specific mRNA codon recognition, and the 3' end, to which the tRNAs corresponding amino acid is attached (by aminoacyl-tRNA synthetases). tRNAs cope with the degeneracy of the genetic code in two manners: having more than one tRNA (with a specific anti-codon) for a particular amino acid; and 'wobble' base-pairing, i.e. permitting non-standard base-pairing at the 3rd anti-codon position.
Source: RNAcentral